GAGUUUGAUCGUGGCUCAGAACGAACGCUGGCGGCAUGCCUAACACAUGCAAGUCGAACGAGACCUUCGGGUCUAGUGGCGCACGGGUGCGUAACGCGUGGGAAUCUGCCCUUCGGUUCGGAAUAACUCAGGGAAACUUGAGCUAAUACCGGAUAAUGACGUAAGUCCAAAGAUUUAUCGCCGAAGGAUGAGCCCGCGUAGGAUUAGCUUGUUGGUGGGGUAAUGGCCUACCAAGGCGACGAUCCUUAGCUGGUCUGAGAGGAUGAUCAGCCACACUGGGACUGAGACACGGCCCAGACUCCUACGGGAGGCAGCAGUGGGGAAUAUUGGACAAUGGGCGAAAGCCUGAUCCAGCAAUGCCGCGUGAGUGAUGAAGGCCUUAGGGUUGUAAAGCUCUUUUACCCGGGAUGAUAAUGACAGUACCGGGAGAAUAAGCUCCGGCUAACUCCGUGCCAGCAGCCGCCGUAAC
Molecule: ribosomal RNA, 469 nt
Filed under: uncultured Alphaproteobacteria bacterium
Lineage: Bacteria; Pseudomonadati; Pseudomonadota; Alphaproteobacteria
Description: bacterial SSU rRNA
Rfam family: Bacterial small subunit ribosomal RNA
Source: RNAcentral